GCAGUCAUGGCCGAGUGGUUAAGGCGAUGGACUCGAAAUCCAUUGGGGUCUCCCCGCGCAGGUUCGAAUCCUGUCGGCUGCG
This 82-nucleotide transfer RNA is filed under the name Dermacentor silvarum. RNAcentral describes it as "transfer RNA serine (anticodon CGA)". It matches the Rfam family "tRNA". Rfam says of the family: Transfer RNA (tRNA) molecules are approximately 80 nucleotides in length. The record is from RNAcentral. Lineage: Eukaryota; Metazoa; Arthropoda; Arachnida; Ixodida; Ixodidae.